Molecule: ribosomal RNA, 584 nt
Filed under: uncultured beta proteobacterium
Lineage: Bacteria; Pseudomonadati; Pseudomonadota; Betaproteobacteria
Description: bacterial SSU rRNA
Rfam family: Bacterial small subunit ribosomal RNA
Source: RNAcentral
CAUGCAAGUCGAACGGCAGCACGGGUGCUUGCACCUGGUGGCGAGUGGCGAACGGGUGAGUAAUACAUCGGAACAUGUCCUGUAGUGGGGGAUAGCCCGGCGAAAGCCGGAUUAAUACCGCAUACGAUCUACGGAUGAAAGCGGGGGACCUUCGGGCCUCGCGCUAUAGGGUUGGCCGAUGGCUGAUUAGCUAGUUGGUGGGGUAAAGGCCUACCAAGGCGACGAUCAGUAGCUGGUCUGAGAGGACGACCAGCCACACUGGGACUGAGACACGGCCCAGACUCCUACGGGAGGCAGCAGUGGGGAAUUUUGGACAAUGGGCGAAAGCCUGAUCCAGCAAUGCCGCGUGUGUGAAGAAGGCCUUCGGGUUGUAAAGCACUUUUGUCCGGAAAGAAAUCCUUGGUUCUAAUAUAGCCGGGGGAUGACGGUACCGGAAGAAUAGGCACCGGCUAACUACGUGCCAGCAGCCGCGGUAAUACGUAGGGUGCGAGCGUUAAUCGGAAUUACUGGGCGUAAAGCGUGCGCAGGCGGUUUGCUAAGACCGAUGUGAAAUCCCCGGGCUCAACCUGGGAACUGCAUUGGUG